This is an RNA transcript of Vespula pensylvanica (western yellowjacket), 3074 nucleotides long. It is a transcript of the gene named probable leucine--tRNA ligase, mitochondrial, with no coding region annotated. Lineage: Eukaryota; Metazoa; Arthropoda; Insecta; Hymenoptera; Vespidae. The transcript is spliced from 10 exons. The record is from RefSeq and is a predicted model, not a curated record.
AUUUGAUUAGAGUUGUUUCGUAAUGCUAGUCGAUUAGAAAUACAAAACAUGAAGUACGGUUGUAUAAAUAUAUUAAGAUCAAGUUUUAUUGUACGAGAUGAAUAUUUUUUGAAAAUAAGUAUAAAAAGACGAGCUUCUACUGGUAUCUGUUCAUUAAAGUUUCCAGGAUGAUAAUCUUAAUAUAACUACGAAAAAUAAAAUAGAGUUACAUUGGAAGAAUAAGGUGAAUCUAAAUUUAUACGAUGAAAAUGAUAAUACAAAGGAUAAGUUUUAUGUCCUUUCUAUGUUUCCUUAUCCUUCUGGAAAACUUCAUAUGGGUCAUGUUAGAGUUUACACAAUCAGUGAUGUUAUAGCACGUUUCUAUAGGAUGAGAGGUAAAAAUGUGAUUCAUCCAAUGGGAUGGGAUGCAUUUGGUCUACCUGCUGAAAAUGCUGCUAUUGAACAACAAAUUGAUCCUAGUAAAUGGACAAUAACUAAUAUAAAUGUAAUGCGCAAACAAUUAAAUGCUCUUAAUUUUUCAUUUGAUUGGAACAGGGAAAUUUCAACUUGUGAUCCUGAAUAUUAUAGAUGGACUCAAGAAUUAUUUUUAAAACUCUUUGAAAAAAAUCUAAUUUACAGAAAAGAAGAAUAUGUUAAUUGGGAUCCAAUUGAUAAGACAGUAUUAGCUGAAGAACAGGUUGAUGUAAAUAAUAUUUCUUGGAGAUCUGGAGCUAAAGUAGAAAAAAGAUUAUUAAAUCAGUGGUUUAUUAGAACUACAGCUUUGGCUAAAUCAUUAUUGGAUGGAUUAAAUGAUACAACAUUGAAAGAGUGGAGAGAUAUUAUAAAGAUUCAAAAAAAUUGGAUCGGUGAUUGUAAUGGUGUAAGUUUUGAUUUUAAGUUAGUUUCUGAUAUCUCAGAAUUGCCAAAAACUAUAAAUCUAUGGACUGAUAAGCCAGAAUUUGUCAAAUUUGCAAAGUUUGUUGUUAUUUCUCCUAGUAAUAUAUUAAAUCAACAACAAUAUACUGAAAGUGUUAAUGCAAAAACUAAAAAGCUGAAAGCCACUGUAAUAAAUCCUUUUACGGAACAAGAAUUACCUAUAUUUAUAUCUGAAGAAUUGGUUUUUCCACUGAAUAGAGAUAAUUAUCUGGGUAUUCCCUCUGCUUCCAUUGAAGAUUAUAAAUUUGCAGAAUCCGUGGAAAUUCCAUUCCAACGGCAUAAUAUACGUUCUCAUGAAGAAUUGCAAUAUGAACUUAAUGAAAUAUUAGUUAAAGCAAAAAAAUGGAAUAUUGGUGGAUAUGCAGUAAGUUCUAAAUUGAAAGAUUGGCUGAUUUCUAGACAAAGAUAUUGGGGUACUCCUAUUCCAAUUAUACAUUGUAAAAAUUGUGGUAUUCAACCUGUACCACGUAAUCAAUUACCUGUUGUGUUACCAAACAUUAAUUUUAAUUUAGCAAUAAAAAAUCAUUUUACUUUACUCAAUGCCAAAGAAUGGUUACAAACUGUGUGUCCUAAGUGUGGUAAUCAUGCAAUCAGAGAAGCUGAUACAAUGGAUACAUUUGUAGAUAGUUGUUGGUACUUUUUAAGAUAUAUUGAUCCAAAAAAUCAAGAAGAAAUGUUUUCUGUAGAAAAGGUCAAAAAAAAUUUACCUGUUGAUUUAUAUAUAGGUGGAAAGGAACAUGCUACACUCCAUUUAUAUUACGCUCGAUUUAUAAAUCAUUUUUUAUAUGAGGAGGGUCUUGUUCCAACUCGUGAACCAUUUAAGCAACUCCUUGUACAGGGUAUGGUAAUGGGAAAAACUUACCAAAUAUCUAAUACUGGACAGUACAUAAAAGAAAGUGAUGUAAUUAAAGAUGAGAAGGAUAACAAAUAUUAUGAAAAAAAUACUGGAAGACCUAUAACAGUUACUUGGGAAAAAAUGUCUAAAUCAAAAUAUAAUGGAGUUGAUCCUCUUGAACUUCUGGAACAUUAUGGUGUGGAUACAACUAGAUUAGUAAUACUAGCAGAUGUAGCUCCAACUUCUCACAGAAAUUGGUCUGUUGACACAAUUCGUGGUAUACAAAAUUGGCAAAAUCGUAUAUGGAUGACUUUGAAAGAAUUUAUUGGAAUGAGGGAACAUAUAUCAUUAGAAAAACUUCAAACAGCAGCUACUGAUUCUAAAUAUAUUAAGGAUAAUGAAUUCAUGUUUGAUAGCAGAAAUUAUUUUUUAAAAAUGGUAACCUUUAAUAUCAUAACAUCGCAACAGAUAAGUGUUGCAAUAUCUAGGAUGCAAGGACUUACAAAUAGUUUACGAAAAGUAUGUAAUGAAUGUAAAUUAAAAAGUCGUGAAUAUGAACGGGCAUUGGCUACACAAAUAAUUAUGCUUGCACCAAUAGCUCCACACUUUGCUUCAGAAUUAUGGACUGCAUUUUGUUCUAUACCGAAUCAUCUUCUAAACAAAGAGGAAGUAUUAUUAGAUAAAGAUGUAUUGGAGCAAAAAUGGCCUGAAAUAGAUAUGAAUUAUAAGAUGAUAAUGAAUGUUUAUGUCAAUAAACAGUUGCUCACGGAAAUAAAAGUUCCCCGUUAUAUCUUAGAUAAAUUAACUGCGCAGGAGGCAUCAGAAUUAAUAAUGGCUAAACCCUUUUAUGAAAAACUUUUGAGAAAGCAUAGAAUCACAGAUGUUAAGCUUCUUUCGCAAAUAGCCUGUGAUGCAAAUUUGUAUAUUAGUACAACUAAAAUAUUAGAAGAAGUUUCAUCUUAAGUGAAGUUAGUAUAAUUCUACAAGACUCAUUAUAAUACAACAAAAAUAACAAAAGAUCAAGUAGUCGACAAGGUAGGAAUUUACUACUAUCAACCUAUUCGCCGGUAAAAUGGGAAUUUACUUUCUCCGACUAGUAAUAUGCGGAAGAGAAGAUCCCACUAUUAUCAAUUAUUCGUUCGGUAAAGUUGGACUUUAUUAUUACCAACUAAGUUGUCAGAAAACAAUGUAAAAAUGCAUUUAUGCACAUUGAGGAAUGAUUGUUGGUAAUGUGGGAAUUUCCCGUGUGCUUAUAUCAACUAAAAAAUUCCUUUAUAUACUUUCCCUUUCUCUCUAUCAGAUUGCUAUUCAGUGCUACUUCGUA